Long non-coding RNA from Hyposmocoma kahamanoa, 1058 nucleotides. RefSeq lists it as uncharacterized. The transcript is spliced from 6 exons. The record is from RefSeq and is a predicted model, not a curated record. NCBI's taxonomy places the organism in Eukaryota, Metazoa, Arthropoda, Insecta, Lepidoptera, Cosmopterigidae.
UUAUUUAAAAUUUAUUUGUCUUUUACAUUUUUUGAUUAAAAUUUUUAAGUUACAAAGUAGCUACGUAGUUACAAAUAUGUGCAGCCCAAUACGUUGUUUACCCGAUUACAAGGAACUCCGACCGAUCGAGCCCUGCUUUCCUGUUCAGGGCCCGUGUUGUCUACCCUGUGGCAUUGACCCAGUGACGCUGCGGCGGCCGCUGAUCGUCCACGACAGCACGUUCGACUACCGCCCCACUAGUUGGCCCGGCAUGAUCGUCAACAACCAAGACAAGAAAGUCCGUUACCAGCUCAUCAAUUACGAAAGAGUUGUGAAACCGGUGUACCCUAUGUGUGCACCGUCAUAUUAGAAUCAAUUCAAUUUAACUCUAUUAGAAUAGCUCUCACAGAGACUUGGAAUUUUUACUGAGAUAUUAAAAAAUAGGUACAGCAAAAUGUGUGACAGAAUGAGAAUUUGCAGUCAACUACAGAACAUAAUGUCCGCUAUUAAAGGUGGACCUUGCGGUUGCGGACCGUGUUGCGGUCACUGCUGUUCACCUCCGCCGUGUUGCGGCGGCGGCUCUUACGUCACAGUUUACAGUCAAGUAGCAAAUAUCCAGUGACGCGACCUGCGCUCGCGAUUAUACAAGUCAUUUCACGUUUUCGUAUUUAACACGUUCACAGUCUAAAUUAUUUACCAAUGGAUUUACAACUGCGAACUCUAAAACGAAUUCCUAUCAAUGAUUUGAAAAACCACAAAUAUGAUGCCGUGUUAGCCGUGGGACAUCCUCCUCGGCCACUUCUGGCCUUCGAUCAUGCCGUCAUGGAAAUCGGAAAGCGGUGAUACGGCUGUCCUCAAGACCAUACCUACUAAAAUGCUACUAAAUUGCAGGUGUCUAUAAGUAUUUGACACUUGUUUUUGUUGACGUGCCGUCUUCAAGAGCUUAGUCUUCGAAACGUGACCCUGUUGAUUACAAUGUUAGUAUACUAUUAGUGACAGUCAAUAGGUGAAAGUUUGACCGGUUAAGUGAGCUCUUUGUGGCGUAAAAAUAUUGUAAAGUGUUAAAAUAAAAAUUGUAU